Molecule: ribosomal RNA, 253 nt
Filed under: uncultured bacterium
Lineage: Bacteria
Description: partial 16S ribosomal RNA
Rfam family: Bacterial small subunit ribosomal RNA
Source: RNAcentral
UACGGAGGGUGCAAGCGUUAUCCGGAUUCACUGGGUUUAAAGGGUGCGUAGGCGGGCAGGUAAGUCAGUGGUGAAAUCCUGGGGCUUAACCCCAGAAGUGCCGUUGAUACUAUCGGUCUUGAAUGUCGUGGAGGUGAGCGGAAUAUGUCAUGUAGCGGUGAAAUGCUUAGAUAUGACAUAGAACACCAAUUGCGAAGGCAGCUCACUACACAAUCAUUGACGCUGAGGCACGAAAGCGUGGGGAUCAAACAGG